RNAcentral lists this small RNA (114 nucleotides) under Marmota monax (woodchuck). Lineage: Eukaryota; Metazoa; Chordata; Mammalia; Rodentia; Sciuridae. The record is from RNAcentral.
GCUAGGUGUGGUAGUGCAUGCCUGUAAUCCCAGUGACUCAGGAGGCUGAGGUUGGAGGAUCUUAAAUUCAAGGGCAGCCUGGGCAACUUGGCCCUCAACAAUUUAGAUCCUUUU